RNAcentral lists this transfer RNA (59 nucleotides) under Oryzias latipes (Japanese medaka). It matches the Rfam family "tRNA", at positions 7 to 64 of the family's 71-position model. Rfam says of the family: Transfer RNA (tRNA) molecules are approximately 80 nucleotides in length. Lineage: Eukaryota; Metazoa; Chordata; Actinopteri; Beloniformes; Adrianichthyidae. The record is from Rfam by way of RNAcentral.
GUGGUGCAGUGGUAGGGCGGUCGAUUUCUGAUCGGAAGGUUGCAGGUUUGAUUCCUGCC